RNAcentral lists this unclassified non-coding RNA (269 nucleotides) under Dactylella heptameres. RNAcentral describes it as "partial internal transcribed spacer region". The stretch from base 1 to 46 matches the Rfam family "Eukaryotic small subunit ribosomal RNA", at positions 1786 to 1831 of the family's 1831-position model. Lineage: Eukaryota; Fungi; Ascomycota; Orbiliomycetes; Orbiliales; Orbiliaceae. The record is from RNAcentral.
AAGUCGUAACAAGGUUUCCGUAGGUGAACCUGCGGAAGGAUCAUUAAACAAUUAAUAGUCUUUUACAAAACUAUAUCAACCCUUUGUGAACCAAAAAACCUUUUCGCUUCGGUAGCAGGCUUGGUUGCGUGCGGUUUAAAAAAACCAAGCGCUUUCAAGCUAUCAGCUUGCCGGUAGCACUAAAUAUAAACCUGUUUUAAAACUAUUAUCUGAACAAAAUCAUUUUCGAAUGAAAAUUAAAACUUUUAAUAACGGAUCUCUUGGUUCUC